AACACAUGCAAGUCGAACGAGAAAGUGGAGCAAUCCAUGAGUACAGUGGCGUACGGGUGAGUAACACGUGGGUAAUCUACCUCUUAGUGGGGAAUAACCUUGGGAAACCGAAGCUAAUACCGCAUAAGCUCGAGAGAGGAAAGCAGCAAUGCGCUGAGAGAGGAGCCCGCGGCCGAUUAGCUAGUUGGCAGGGUAAAAGCCUACCAAGGCAGAGAUCGGUAGCCGGCCUGAGAGGGCACACGGCCACACUGGCACUGAAACACGGGCCAGACUCCUACGGGAGGCAGCAGUGGGGAAUCUUGCACAAUGGGGGCAACCCUGAUGCAGCGACGCCGCGUGAGCGAUGAAGCCCUUCGGGGUGUAAAGCUCUUUCGUCAGGGAAGAUAGUGACGGUACCUGGAGAAGCAGCUGCGGCUAACUACGU
RNAcentral lists this ribosomal RNA (424 nucleotides) under grassland soil clone sl1_221. RNAcentral describes it as "bacterial SSU rRNA". It matches the Rfam family "Bacterial small subunit ribosomal RNA", at positions 50 to 506 of the family's 1533-position model. The record is from RNAcentral.